GAUGAACGCUGGCUGCGUGCUUAACACAUGCAAGUCGAACGGAAAGGCCUGUACUUGUACAGGUACUCGAGUGGCGAACGGGUGAGUAACACGUGGGUGAUCUGCCCUGCACUGUGGGAUAAGCCCGGGAAACUGGGUCUAAUACCAUAUAGGACCACUUCUUGGAUGUUGUGGUGGAAAGCUUUUGCGGUGUGGGAUGAGCCUGCGGCCUAUCAGCUUGUUGGUGGGGUAAUGGCCUACCAAGGCGGCGACGGGUAUCCGGCCUGAGAGGGUGUACGGACACAUUGGGACUGAGAUACGGCCCAGACUCCUACGGGAGGCAGCAGUGGGGAAUAUUGCACAAUGGGCGCAAGCCUGAUGCAGCGACGCCGCGUGGGGGAUGACGGCCUUCGGGUUGUAAACUCCUUUCGCUAUCGACGAAGCCACCUUGGGUGGUGACGGUAGGUAGAUAAGAAGCACCGGCUAACUACGUGCCAGCAGCCGCGGUAAUACGUAGGGUGCAAGCGUUGUCCGGAAUUACUGGGCGUAAAGAGCUCGUAGGUGGUUUGUCGCGUCGUCUGUGAAUCCCGGGGCUUAACUUCGGGCGUGCAGGCGAUACGGGCAUAACUUGAGUGCUGUAGGGGGGACUGGAAUUCCUGGUGUAGCGGUGAAAUGCGCAGAUAUCAGGAGGAACACCGAUGGCGAAGGCAGGUCUCUGGGCAGUAACUGACGCUGAGGAGCGAAAGCAUGGGUAGCGAACAGGAUUAGAUACCCUGGUAGUCCAUGCCGUAAACGGUGGGCGCUAGGUGUAGGGGGCUUCCACGUCUUCUGUGCCGUAGCUAACGCAUUAAGCGCCCCGCCUGGGGAGUACGGCCGCAAGGCUAAAACUCAAAGGAAUUGACGGGGGCCCGCACAAGCGGCGGAGCAUGUGGAUUAAUUCGAUGCAACGCGAAGAACCUUACCUGGGCUUGACAUAUACAGGAUUGGGCUAGAGAUAGUUCGUCCCUUGUGGUCUGUAUACAGGUGGUGCAUGGUUGUCGUCAGCUCGUGUCGUGAGAUGUUGGGUUAAGUCCCGCAACGAGCGCAACCCUUGUCUUAUGUUGCCAGCACGUGAUGGUGGGGACUCAUGAGAAACUGCCGGGGUUAACUCGGAGGAAGGUGGGGAUGACGUCAAAUCAUCAUGCCCCUUAUGUCCAGGGCUUCACACAUGCUACAAUGGUCGAUACAAUGGGCAGCGACAUCGUGAGGUGAAGCGAAUCCCUGUAAGUCGGCCUUAGUUCGGAUUGGGGUCUGCAACUCGACCCCAUGAAGUCGGAGUCGCUAGUAAUCGCAGAUCAGCAAAGCUGCGGUGAAUACGUUCCCGGGCCU
Molecule: ribosomal RNA, 1347 nt
Filed under: uncultured bacterium
Lineage: Bacteria
Description: bacterial SSU rRNA
Rfam family: Bacterial small subunit ribosomal RNA
Source: RNAcentral